RNAcentral lists this ribosomal RNA (489 nucleotides) under uncultured bacterium. Its description in RNAcentral is "bacterial SSU rRNA". It matches the Rfam family "Bacterial small subunit ribosomal RNA", at positions 9 to 518 of the family's 1533-position model. The record is from RNAcentral.
AGAGUUGAUCCUGGCUAGGACGAACGCUGGCGGCAUGCUUAACACAUGCAAGUCGAACGAACUUGAUCCUUCGGGAUGAAAAGUUAGUGGCGGACGGGUGAGUAAUGUAUGAGCAAUCUGCCCUUUCAUCGGGAUAACAUAGGGAAACUUAUGCUAAUACCGAAUAUGACCACGGUAUCGCAUGGUACUGCGGUGAAAGCUCCGGCGGAAAAGGAUGAGCUCAUAUCCUAUUAGUUAGUUGGUGAGAUAACAGCCCACCAAGACAGCGAUGGGUAGCCGAGCUGAGAGGCUGAUCGGCCACAUUGGGACUGAAACACGGCCCAGACUUCUACGGAAGGCAGCAGUGGGGAAUAUUGGUCAAUGGAGGCAACUCUGAACCAAGCAAUGCCGCGUGAGUGAUGAAAAUCUUACGAUUGUAAAGCUCUAACUUAGAGACGAUAAUGACGGUAUCUAAGGAUAAGCCCCGGCUAACUACGUGCCAGCAGCGGC